GUUUCAUCAUGUUGACCAGGAUGGUCUUGAUCUAUUGACCUCGUGGUCCGCUCACCUCAGCCUUCCAAAGUGCUGGGAUUACAGGCGUGAGCCGUCAUACCCAGCCUAAGCCAAUCAUUCUAAUUUCUGUCUUUGCCCCAGUAAUUUGUUCAGGUUGGGAGUAACUCAGGCCUAAGCCAGUCAGCAUCCUUGCCCCAGUGAUCAAGUCAGAGCAAAAGCAUGUGACCUAAAGAAAGAGAUGUCAUGGAUGCUGUAUGACAGGGAGAAAAGCAGCUCGUUCCUAUUAGGGGAUGGUAGAAUGUGUGGCCUGGGUGUCUUAUAACCAUUUUUCUACCUAGAAGGAAGGCAGCAUACAAAGACGCUCCGAGAGACUGAGAAACAUGGCCCUGAUCACAUGGCUCCCGAGGCCCAUGUGGCCUCUGGGUUUUCAGUUAUAUAAGCCAUUGUGAGUUGGACUUACUAUUACCUGCAACUGAAAGCAACCUAUUACAGUCAUAUCACUUAAUGACGAGAAAAGCAUUGUCAGGUGAUCUGAGAAAAGCAUUGUCAGGUGAUCUCGUCGUAGUGUGAACAUCAUGGAGUGCACGUACACAGACCCAGACGGCAGAGCCUAUCGCACGCCUAGGCCAUAUGGGGUAGCCAGUAGCUCCUAGGCUACAAACCUGUGCAGCUUGUCACCAUACUAGAUACUGUAGGCAACUGGAACACAGUGGUAUUUUAAAUAAACAUAUCCCAAAAU
Molecule: long non-coding RNA, 739 nt
Organism: Sapajus apella (tufted capuchin)
Lineage: Eukaryota; Metazoa; Chordata; Mammalia; Primates; Cebidae
Exons: 3
Source: RefSeq, a predicted model, not a curated record